This is an RNA transcript of Capsella rubella, 1432 nucleotides long. RefSeq lists it as uncharacterized. The transcript has 3 exons. The record is from RefSeq and is a predicted model, not a curated record. Lineage: Eukaryota; Viridiplantae; Streptophyta; Magnoliopsida; Brassicales; Brassicaceae.
UCUUUUCCGGCAGGCAUCUCUCCCUCCACUCUUCUUCUCCUUCCUCCGCUCACCGCCGCUUGUUGUGUCGUCCCUUCCUCCGGCCUCCGGCCGUGAGACAGGGAUCGACAAAUUAAUUCUUUGUUCGUGUUAUUCCUUUUGAACUGCAGUACUAUCUCGUUUUUGGUCCUUGCUCUUCCUUCUAUUUUUGGUUUCGAUGUCUCCUCCUUGUGGUGGUGGUUGGUCCCUUAGCAUCUAUUCUUACAUUGCUCCCCGCUCCCCUCAGUCACUCUCACAAGCGUCUUCUUCUUGCUUGUCCUCUUUGGAUUCUCCUUCCAAAGUGACUUUUGAAGGUGUUUCUCCGCUGAUGAGUGAAAGCGAUUUCAGUCUCUCCUCCGUGGCGAUUUUAGAUCCACCCAACGCCUUCACGUUUGAGUCUUUGUCAGGCUGCUCGUGGGGGUUGGUCUGUUCCGACGGCUUUGUCGACGUGUAUCCGACAUCCUUGCCUCCAUUCCCAGCCGCUCGUGUUGGAUCUCGUCAGAAUUUUUCUCUGACUUGUCUCUCGGAGAUCUCUGCAACCAUCUGCUAUGUCUCAAGCAAACGACCCCCGAAAGUAGUUGCAAGCCACCAGUGUUUUUCACCUCCGCUUCCCCUGCAAGUCUCACCGUCUUCAUUUGCGUCCUCGUUCUUACUGAGAACUCUUUGGGGUAGUUGGGUUUGGUUCAACCUUUCGUGUCCUCUAGUGACACGUAUAUGGCCCUCCCACGGGCCUUUCCUGUAGUAUGCAGCUUAUGGUCUGGUUUCGUCAUGGCUUCCGUUUGUACAAGGUUCAAGACUUAUGCUCUCCGUAGAUGGCAGUAUCGACUUUCACUGCCUCCUUUCUCCUUCAUUAUGACGUCUAAAGAAGGCAUUAUGGCAGCCAAUCUUUGAAGACUUUUAUCCCUGCCUUUGGUGUAACUUUGAAUGGUUCACCUUUUGUCUCGGAUCGGCUUAGUGGUGAAUCUAUUGUUCCUUGUAUUGAGGAUUUUGUUAGCUUAGUUCUAACUUGUUUGGUGGCUAAGGUAUUAGCCCCGAACACUAGUUUUGGUUUCCGUUUUGUUGAAGACAGGUUGUGUGAAGGUUUAGGCUUCACAAAAGAGGACUUGUGUGACAAAAAAUCUCAACCAAUCAAGGAUAUGAUUAAGCGAUCAGCGAGGUUUUAGCAUUGGGUGUAUCAAGGCUGGCCUCUUUUGCGGAUUGUCAAGAACUUCUGUUUCUUUUCAAUGUCGUUGGCCAUGCAUACGAGCUCGACGAUAUAUUAGCAUAUAUCCAAGAGUGUAGUACCAACUUUUUCUAUGUGUUGUUUCUUUUUGUAUCUUUUGUAAAAGACCUUGAGACAAAGUCUUUGGCAAAGGCUGCACUAUUCUCUUGUACCUUCUCAUUCAUUAAUGGAGUAUGAGCUAUCUAAAUAUAA